UACGGGGGGAGCAAGCGUUGUUCGGAUUUACUGGGCGUAAAGGGCGCGUAGGCGGCCACCGCAAGUCGACUGUGAAAUCUCCGGGCUUAACCCGGAAAGGUCAGCCGAUACUGCGGGGCUAGAGUGCAGAAGGGGCAACUGGAAUUCUCGGUGUAGCGGUGAAAUGCGUAGAUAUCGAGAGGAACACCUGCGGCGAAGGCGGGUUGCUGGGCUGACACUGACGCUGAGGCGCGAAAGCUAGGGUAGCAAACGGG
Molecule: ribosomal RNA, 254 nt
Filed under: uncultured bacterium
Lineage: Bacteria
Description: partial 16S ribosomal RNA
Rfam family: Bacterial small subunit ribosomal RNA
Source: RNAcentral